ACGAAGGGUGCAAGCGUUAAUCGGAAUUACUGGGCGUAAAGGGUGCGUAGGCGGUUCGUUAAGUCUGUCGUGAAAUCCCCGGGCUCAACCUGGGAACUGCAUUCAAAACUGACUGACUAGAGUAUGGUAGAGGGUGGUGGAAUUUCCUGUGUAGCGGUGAAAUGCGUAGAUAUAGGAAGGGACACCAGUGGCGAAGGCGACCACCUGGACUAAUACUGACACUGAGGUGCGAAAGCGUGGGGAGCAAACAGGA
Molecule: ribosomal RNA, 253 nt
Filed under: uncultured prokaryote
Description: partial 16S ribosomal RNA
Rfam family: Bacterial small subunit ribosomal RNA
Source: RNAcentral